Non-coding RNA from Pelobates cultripes (western spadefoot toad), 318 nucleotides. The record is from the annotation of a GenBank genome assembly. Lineage: Eukaryota; Metazoa; Chordata; Amphibia; Anura; Pelobatidae.
GCAAUGUCACAGCAGUAUUUGACGUUUCUAUUUGACUCUCAGAUAUGAAGUGCACGCCCCAAAAUUACUUUUUAGCACCAAAAAAAUUUGAAUUUGUCAAACUGCAAUGUCACAGCAUUAUUUAAAUUGCCUAGAUGUUGCCCACUGAGCUACCAGAAUAGGAUUAAAGUAAUGUGCCUGGCACACAUGCAGUUGUAAAUGCACUGCAAUUGCAAAAAUGGCUGCCGGCGCCGACCUAACAAACAGACUGAUUGCUUAUUUCUCUGUGGCACUGGACUCAGGGCAGGGUACAAAAAUGUACUAUAGCACCUGUCAUGG